Molecule: long non-coding RNA, 1038 nt
Filed under: Ornithorhynchus anatinus (platypus)
Lineage: Eukaryota; Metazoa; Chordata; Mammalia; Monotremata; Ornithorhynchidae
Description: lncRNA (ENSOANG00000046783.1)
Source: RNAcentral
UCGCUUCUUCUCAUUUUCCCCAAACUUUAGUUGUCUCAGGUUGAAUAGGUUAAGAACCUGAGUCUGCUCAGAGAAGCCCUUGUCUGAAUCUGUACUUUCUCUGCCAUCUAGUUGCCGGGGUGAAUUUGAGAUGAAUCAGAGGGGCAGCAUCUUUCUCGUGGCCCAGUGGACUUCUCUGGGGACUUUCUCUGAAGUCACCUCUCCAUUUUUCCCUGGAUUCGAGGCUGGCCCAAGUGAGAGGUGGCACUCUAAAACAAGGAAAAACAAGCGUUGACAGCAAGCUGCAGAAACUCCAGUGACUAACUUUGGCAAAUGGUGGCUGGCUGGAGAAUUUCAUCUCUGCUAAACACAUCCGGCAUUAAAUCUGAAGAGCAAUGAUGACACAAGCACAGGACGGGGAACGAAGAACUCGGCAGGGAACGAGCCCUGAGGCAUUCGUACAGGUGAGGAAAAUAGGUUUGGACGUAGUUGGCCAAAAACUCUUCCCUCACUUUGUAAAUGGAGCCCAAGGCUCUCUCUUGCAGCCCAAUCUCUUAGGAUGAAAUGUCGUCUCUUCUCCCACUCCAGCGGCGAUGCUGGUGAAGCCGAUGUCAGGAAAUUGGUCCAAGAUGACAGUUUUUCCCAUGCAAGGGAGCAGCGGGUCGUUCCCUCCAGUGAGGAAAAUGGGGAAAUCAUGACACCUCCCCAGGGGAAAGUGUUCAGGGAGCAAGAACAAGCCUGUGGACUUCUGGGAGACAAAAGUGGCAGAUGGAUCAACCUGGCAAGUGGGAUUUGGACCUGGAAGUUGCUCUUCUUGAGGAGAAGCUUCAACCAGCGCAGUAGACCUAAGAAAAUGGGUGGAAAGAAGCACAGGCACUGUGCAAGUCCCACCAAGAAUGAUAUAUACUAAUGAAGCAAGAUCUAGCGAGAAGUCAGGACUUCUAGCCACUCUUCUGCCACUGGUUGCUGGAAGACUGCAGGUAAGUCAUCUCACCUCUCCAUACCUCAGUUUUUUAAUCUGUAAAUUGGGGAUAAAAUAAGUCCUACGUCAGAGCAAUG